Molecule: ribosomal RNA, 253 nt
Filed under: uncultured bacterium
Lineage: Bacteria
Description: partial 16S ribosomal RNA
Rfam family: Bacterial small subunit ribosomal RNA
Source: RNAcentral
UACGUAGGGUGCGAGCGUUAAUCGGAAUUAUUGGGCGUAAAGAGCCCGUAGGCGGCCUGUUGCGUCCGCUGUGAAAGCCCGGGGCUUAACCCCGGGUCGGCAGUGGAUACGGGCGGGCUAGAGGUAGGUAGGGGAGAAUGGAAUUCCCGGUGUAGCGGUGAAAUGCGCAGAUAUCGGGAGGAACACCGGUGACGAAGGCGGUUCUCUGGGCCUUACCUGACGCUGAGGAGCGAAAGCGUGGGGAGCGAACAGG